AUGGCCUCUCUAAAACGGUCGGCGCUCAAACUUCAACAGCGGAGAACCUCGUCCGUUUCACAUCCAACCGAUGGAGAUUAUGCAGAGGCUUCAAGAUUGAGAGAGUCUUCAGAUUCUAUGGUACAAGCUGGAUUAGCUUUCAAACAUGGCAUGGAAUUGAAGUCCAUUAGCAAGGCGAGUCUUGAAGAUAAAUUGCAAGGCAAGGCUAAAUGA
Non-coding RNA from Vicia faba (fava bean), 213 nucleotides. The record is from the annotation of a GenBank genome assembly. NCBI's taxonomy places the organism in Eukaryota, Viridiplantae, Streptophyta, Magnoliopsida, Fabales, Fabaceae.